RNAcentral lists this ribosomal RNA (147 nucleotides) under Candidatus Poseidoniales archaeon. RNAcentral describes it as "Marine Group II euryarchaeote (marine metagenome) partial 23S ribosomal RNA". It matches the Rfam family "Archaeal large subunit ribosomal RNA", at positions 2786 to 2935 of the family's 2987-position model. Lineage: Archaea; Methanobacteriati; Thermoplasmatota; Candidatus Poseidoniia; Candidatus Poseidoniales. RNAcentral also lists the same sequence under 1 other name. The record is from RNAcentral.
ACCAGUUGUCCGACAGGGCAAUGCUGGGUAGCCACGCUCCAGUGGAUAAGAGCUGAAAGCAUCUAAGCUCGAAGUCAUCCGAAAGACGAGGCAUCUCAGGGGACUCAUAGAAGAUGAGUUUGAUAGACAGCGGGUGUAAGUACCGAG